GAUGAACGCUGGCGGCGUGCCUAAUACAUGCAAGUCGAGCGAACGGACGAGAAGCUUGCUUCUCUGAUGUUAGCGGCGGACGGGUGAGUAACACGUGGAUAACCUACCUAUAAGACUGGGAUAACUUCGGGAAACCGGAGCUAAUACCGGAUAAUAUUUUGAACCGCAUGAUUCAAAAGUGAAAGACGGUCUUGCUGUCACUUAUAGAUGGAUCCGCGCUGCAUUAGCUAGUUGGUAAGGUAACGGCUUACCAAGGCAACGAUGCAUAGCCGACCUGAGAGGGUGAUCAGCCACACUGGAACUGAGACACGGUCCAGACUCCUACGGGAGGCAGCAGUAGGGAAUAUUCGGCAAUGGGCGAAAGCCUGACGGAGCAACGCCGCGUGAGUGAUGAAGGUCUUCGGAUCGUAAAACUCUGUUAUUAGGGAAGAACAUAUGUGUAAGUAACUGUGCACAUCUUGACGGUACCUAAUCAGAAAGCCACGGCUAACUACGUG
RNAcentral lists this ribosomal RNA (497 nucleotides) under uncultured bacterium. Its description in RNAcentral is "partial 16S ribosomal RNA". It matches the Rfam family "Bacterial small subunit ribosomal RNA", at positions 28 to 507 of the family's 1533-position model. The record is from RNAcentral.